UUUACAUUCUUGUGCUGUGAGAAGCAUCAUAAAGAAAAAAGCUGUAGGAGAAGCAGUCAAAUUGUAAUUUCAACUCUGUGCUGUCAGUGAGAGCUGCGAACAUGAAGCAGUUGCCAUUCUCAGUGGAACAAGAACCAAGUAGGAACUGGAGUUUCAGCACUCUCAGGCUCGUCCUGCAUUUGCUUCCUCACACGCCACUGAAAUACCAGGUCUGCCUCCCUUGACUGGUGAUGGUGCACAGUUUACAGAAGAUGGCCCUUGGAGGAGCUGCCUGCCUUUUGCAGUGACCAAACGUUUCUGCUCUUUGAGGAGGAGGCUGAUUCAAGGAACCUGCAGUCACUACAGUGUGCUCAUCAUCUUCCCUCAUGGCAUCUCCCUCCUUGAAUGUCACCUUUGCUGCCCUUGUGAGAUGUUACAUUUCAG
Molecule: long non-coding RNA, 423 nt
Filed under: Anser brachyrhynchus (Pink-footed goose)
Lineage: Eukaryota; Metazoa; Chordata; Aves; Anseriformes; Anatidae
Description: lncRNA (ENSABRG00000004979.1)
Source: RNAcentral